This 461-nucleotide ribosomal RNA is filed under the name uncultured bacterium. Its description in RNAcentral is "bacterial SSU rRNA". It matches the Rfam family "Bacterial small subunit ribosomal RNA", at positions 917 to 1382 of the family's 1533-position model. The record is from RNAcentral.
GGGCCCGCACAAGCAGCGGAGCAUGUGGUUUAAUUCGAAGCAACGCGAAGAACCUUACCUAGACUUGACAUCUCCUGAAUUACUCGUAAUAGAGGAAGCCCUUCGGGGCAGGAAGACAGGUGGUGCAUGGUUGUCGUCAGCUCGUGUCGUGAGAUGUUGGGUUAAGUCCCGCAACGAGCGCAACCCUUAUCAUUAGUUGCUACCAUUAAGUUGAGCACUCUAGUGAGACUGCCCGGGUUAACCGGGAGGAAGGUGGGGAUGACGUCAAAUCAUCAUGCCCCUUAUGUCUAGGGCUACACACGUGCUACAAUGGUAGGUACAACAAGACGCAAGACCGUGAGGUGGAGCAAAACUGUAAAACCUAUCCCAGUUCGGAUUGAAGGCUGAAACUCGCCUUCAUGAAGCCGGAGUUGCUAGUAAUCGCGAAUCAGCAUGUCGCGGUGAAUACGUUCCCGGGCCUU